GCAGCCAUGCCGCGUGUGUGAAGAAGGCCUUCGGGUUGUAAAGCACUUUCAGUAAGGAGGAAAGGUUAGUCACUAAUAUUGGCUAGCUGUGACGUUACUUACAGAAGAAGCACCGGCUAACUCCGUGCCAGCAGCCGCGGUAAUACGGAGGGUGCGAGCGUUAAUCGGAAUUACUGGGCGUAAAGCGUACGCAGGCGGUUUGUUAAGCGAGAUGUGAAAGCCCCGGGCUCAACCUGGGAACUGCAUUUCGAACUGGCAAACUAGAGUGUGAUAGAGGGUGGUAGAAUUUCAGGUGUAGCGGUGAAAUGCGUAGAGAUCUGAAGGAAUACCGAUGGCGAAGGCAGCCACCUGGGUCAACACUGACGCUCAUGUACGAAAGCGUGGGGAGCAAACAGGAUUAGAUACCCUGGUAGUCCACGCCGUAAACGAUGUCUACUAGAAGCUCGGUUCCUCGGAACUGUUUUUCAAAGCUAACGCAUUAAGUAGACCGCCUGGGGAGUACGGCCGCAAGGUUAAAACUCAAAUGAAUUGACGGGGGCCCGCACAAGCGGUGGAGCAUGUGGUUUAAUUCGAUGCAACGCGAAGAACCUUACCUACACUUGACAUACAGAGAACUACCAGAGAUGGU
RNAcentral lists this ribosomal RNA (628 nucleotides) under Pseudoalteromonas sp. Its description in RNAcentral is "bacterial SSU rRNA". It matches the Rfam family "Bacterial small subunit ribosomal RNA", at positions 388 to 1010 of the family's 1533-position model. Lineage: Bacteria; Pseudomonadati; Pseudomonadota; Gammaproteobacteria; Alteromonadales; Pseudoalteromonadaceae. The record is from RNAcentral.